AACGAACGCUGGCGGCAUGCCUAACACAUGCUAGUCGAACGAGACCUUCGGGUCUAGUGGCGCACGGGUGCGUAACGCGUGGGAACCUGCCCUUAGGUUCGGAAUAACUCCCCGAAAGGGGUGCUAAUACCGGAUAAUGUCUUCGGACCAAAGAUUUAUCGCAUUUGGAUGGGCCCGCGUUGGAUUAGCUAGUUGGUAGGGUAAAAGCCUACCAAGGCGACGAUCCAUAGCUGGUCUGAGAGGAUGAUCAGCCACACUGGGACUGAGACACGGCCCAGACUCCUACGGGAGGCAGCAGUGGGGAAUAUUGGACAAUGGGCGAAAGCCUGAUCCAGCAAUGCCGCGUGAGUGAUGAAGGCCUUAGGGUUGUAAAGCUCUUUUACCCGGGAUGAUAAUGACAGUACCGGGAGAAUAAGCUCCGGCUAACUCCGUG
This 433-nucleotide ribosomal RNA is filed under the name uncultured bacterium. RNAcentral describes it as "partial 16S ribosomal RNA". It matches the Rfam family "Bacterial small subunit ribosomal RNA", at positions 29 to 507 of the family's 1533-position model. The record is from RNAcentral.